RNAcentral lists this non-coding RNA (72 nucleotides) under human gut metagenome. RNAcentral describes it as "Cyclic di-GMP-I riboswitch". It matches the Rfam family "c-di-GMP-I riboswitch aptamer", at positions 10 to 83 of the family's 87-position model. Rfam says of the family: GEMM was predicted in a large-scale screen for bacterial structured RNA regulatory elements. The record is from RNAcentral.
GGGCAAAGCAGUCGAAAGGCUGUGACGCAAAGCCAAAGGGACUUCGGGUUAAUACCCAUGUCAGCCGGUUGC